Ipomoea nil (Japanese morning glory) is the source of this 885-nucleotide long non-coding RNA. RefSeq lists it as uncharacterized. The record is from RefSeq and is a predicted model, not a curated record. The transcript has 2 exons. NCBI's taxonomy places the organism in Eukaryota, Viridiplantae, Streptophyta, Magnoliopsida, Solanales, Convolvulaceae.
AAAAAGAAGACAAAGAAGACGACAACAUUAACUCUCCUACUUUUAGCAACCUUAGUGGAAUGACAAGUGUGUUGUGAGAAAACUGUUCUGUGUCUGUAUUCUUUCUUUAUUCAGGACUCGGGAUUUAUGGAUUCUUUUGGAACCUUGUAGCUGCUAUUGUAUAACAUCAAUGUGAAUGCAAUUGCAGACUUUAUACUUGCCAGUUUGGGUUAUAGGGUUGAUUUGAAUUACGGGAAACCUGAUUACUGGCUGAACCCCAUUAAAGUUGCUGCUUUACAAUCAAAAGAGAGGAUAAGAAAGCUACAAGCUCAUUCCCGGCAGGAGCUGGCCAGUUCUACUGUUAGGUUUAUGGGGACAGCCUAAUCAGCCUUGACCUGGAAAGCUAUGCAGCUUAGUUUGCAUAUCAACGCCAAUGCCAGCUUUUGCUUAGCUCACGUAAUUGUCUUAUGUGCACUUAUUAUAUGGUGAUUAGCCACGUUCUCGUUUUUCUCUGUUUUCUUAGGAAGAUGAAGAUAUUGGGUUGGUUCAAGGCUGCCCAGCAGGGACCAUGAAGUGGACAGCAGGUUUGAAAGUGGUCCAUUUUUUUAGUAUUUUGUUUGAUUGAAGUGGCAAUCAGUGCACAAAGAAAGUAGCAGAAAGAUGGUUCAUAUAAUUGGGGUGUACAGGUUUCUUCUUAUGGCAGUUGGGGGCAUUAAAGAUUUGGUGGUUUUCCCUCUUGGCAGAUUUGAACAUUUGUUGCCUGUUGUAGAAAUUUUAGAUUUUCUUCAAGUUUAAGGUUUGCAGCUGGUGUUGAAUGGUUGUCUGUUGGACUCUGAUUUGGUGUGACUCUGUAGGCUUCAGACUUCGGAGUUGAGAUAUUUGCUGUAAUAAAUUAUGGUCUUAGAA